UAAUAUUUGCAAUCUUCUGUAGGCUGUGAGUAUAUUUGGGAUUUAGUUCUCUAUUUUCGAGGACCACAAUAUUCCUCUGUUGGAAAAUCGUGCUUAUUUAUACAAUUUGAACAGUUUGCAGCUACUCAGAGGCUUGCUAUAUCAGACAACAAGCUAACGUUGGCAAUCUGUGCCAGCUACCAACCUUAUAACGUUAUGGUCAAAGUGAACAUCAAAUAUUUGAAAACGUGUUUUUGAAACACUUGGUGAUUCGUGUCCAGAGCCGUUGUCACAUUUAAAUAAUGUUCAUUUUGAAGCCUUGGUGUUCGUGUUAGUUGUGAACAUUAUAUCAGUCACGCAGUCAUGUUGAAUGUAGUGGAUGGCGUUGGCAGUUUCAUAAGUUCCUUGCUCCAUUUUCUGAUUUUGAAUUGAAACAGCACAUGGAGGAUGAGAUGAAUAGUUAUUUUGCUACGUGUAUCAGUCCAAGUCCAAGUGAAGAGUUUCGCCCAGAAUUUCUUGCUCCUGAAGAAGAAUCGUGUGACAGCCUACCAUCAUCUCCAGCAAUGGUUGGGGUCAGUGGUACAACCAUGGCAAAAAGCUGGCUCACCAGCAUUUCCAACGCAUUGGAGAAACUAGCACUUUAGUGUGCUGCGAUGUGUGUGGUGAACAGACAUCAAAUUUGGACGAACAUCGGGCAAGGUCUGGACAUUAUAAAUGUGGACACCAGGAAUAUGGGAACCUGAGAGCUAUGCUGGCGGUAGCCUAGCUGCCGGUAUGGCCUCCCAAGCCGGACAGGUCAAUACGGGUUUUUGCAGCUGGAGUUCAACGUACAACUUUGGCUUCCGGGUGAGAGCCACGUCGAAUGUCUGGUUUUAACUAACGUUUUGGCAAGAGGCGGGGUGAGUUCUGGAGGCCUUAUGUAGGACAGACCUAAGAAGUUACAUAAUUCAUAUGGAGAAUAACAAAGAGCUUUGAAAUUUAAUUAUAACACUAAUAGAAAAAUGUGUAUCUCACGUAUUUGUAAUUUCAAAACAAACUCUAUUUUGGUAAUUAUUACUUAAGAGUUCAAUUUAAAGAGAUGUGAUAAACUUGUUACAUUUUACCUGGUAUACUGUCACAGCAAAGAACUCUGUCUCAGGAAACACGACUGUAGCUUUAGGACUCCGCGAAAGGGCACCACAGUCCGAUGUCUUCACCACUGCAUUCGAAAAGUGCAUGGUUCAAACAUCGUCCGUUAAACCGAUUAUCCAAACUGAGAUUUUUCCUGAUUUCUCCUGGCUUUUCCUAGGAAAAUUCCGGGAAAUUUAAUUAAAUUAGGUCACGAUCUCUUUCCACGCCAUUUUCAGUUCGUUAUUUAUUGACCAUCUUAGUAAUUGGCAAUAUAAAACGAGCUAUUAAUGAGUCGUUAAAUAUGACAGGUAGAAUAAGAAGGUAAAAAUGUACAAAACAUUCAUGUCUGUUUUUCUGUACAGAUUUUAAACUAUAAGGAAUGAACACAGAUUUAGAGUAUAUGAGAACGAAGAUCUGAAGAUUUUGAACCCAAGAAAAGGCAAGCAAGGUUUCGAGAAUACUGAACUUUAUAUAGUGUACCAUCUAUCUAAAACCAUCAGAAUAGUAGAAUCAGAAAGAAUUGGUUUGGAUAAUCAUGUAGCGCGGGGGAGAAAUGAAGUCAAGUCAGGAAUGCUGAAGAGAAGGGACCAUUGCGGAAAGAGAAACAUAGAAGGAAGGACAACUUAAAAAUGUGUCUUACAAAAACGUUGUCUGAAUGUGUGGAAUGGCCAGAACUGAAACUGAAUAUAAUUUAAUGAAGGACCAUGGAAUGUAGACAUGUGAACUUUUAGGUGGAAGUCAACAGCCUACAUCUUUGAGGCAAAAGUUACUACCUACAAGACCAUACGGCGUCACAACCCAGAAGACCAACAUCGACAAGAGGGUCGUGCGCCAUGAAGUCACUUUACGAGAUAAAUAACUAUUACGGGCUUUGGUUGUGACGUCAGCAGUGACAUUCAUAGCCAAUAUAAUAACAAGUAAACAUUACUCAGUAAGUUACUGAAAUGUCUAAGAGUAUCUGAACACGAAAUAAAAUUCUUGGAAGUUUUGAUGGAGAAUAAUACAUUAACAAUAGGCAUGUUCCACGCUCUCCACGGAUAUUCACUUGUCACGUUUUCUCCGCCGCCCGGGACCGUUAAAAUCUAUUCAUGUUACAGAGUGACGUGAAUUUCAUGGAAGCAGAAAUCGGUAUUGACUACAAGAAUCAUUUUCUGGGAAAGCUUUAGCAAAAGGGCGAGUGCAUCACGAUAACUUUCAAACAAAACGAUAUUAGUGAUGAAGAAUUCUUUCUUCUGGGCUGUAACGUCGGUAAACUUCUACCACACCGCACAGCUCAACAAUCUACAACAUGGUCAUAUUUAUACCCGACGCCUUGAGAACCUGAAACCUCACUUGAAUUAUAUCUGCAUGAAUUAUUAGCCUAUGUGACAUCACGCUGUAAAUCGUAAUUGUAAUAAAAUCUGUUAUAAAAUAAACAUAGCGAGGUCAUGGCUCGAAAAUGGGCCGAAGCACCAUA
Molecule: non-coding RNA, 2545 nt
Organism: Zootermopsis nevadensis
Lineage: Eukaryota; Metazoa; Arthropoda; Insecta; Blattodea; Termopsidae
Source: RefSeq, a predicted model, not a curated record